Molecule: ribosomal RNA, 305 nt
Filed under: uncultured fungus
Lineage: Eukaryota; Fungi
Description: LSU rRNA
Source: RNAcentral
UGCGUGAGCUUUACGGUCUCGCUGUUUGCAAUGUUUGUUCUUUUUGGGUGUACUUUUUCGUAUGGGGGCCAACAUCACUUUCGAAUAUCAUAAAAUGACCGGAGGAAUGUAGCUUCGAUCUUGUAUUGAAGUGUUAUAGCCUUUGGUAGAUGUGGUGUUUGGGACUGAGGAUUGCAACGAAUAUCCUUUGGGCUAUCCGUCUGAUCUCUGAAAGUUGCUUAGGUGCCGAAAGCGUGCUUACGGUUAUUUAAGUUGACGGUCAACAGGUUAGAACGUGAUUACAUUCGUUAAGGAUGUUGACGUAA